UGAAGGUGAUGCCUGCCCAGUGACAUCGUUUAACGGCCGCGGUAUCCUAACCGUGCGAAGGUAGCGCAAUCAAUUGUCUCAUAAAUCGAGACUUGUAUGAAUGGCUAAACGAGGUCCUAACUGUCUCUUACAGACAAUCAGUGAAAUUGAUCUUCCUGUGCAAAAGCAGGGAUAUAUUCAUAAGACGAGAAGACCCUGUGGAACUUAAAAAUCAGCGGCCACCGCACACAACACAAAGCCUACCAGGCCCACUACCACCAAAGCAUUGGCUCGUAUUUUUUGGUUGGGGCGACCUUGGAGGAAAAUAGAUCCUCCAAAAACAAGACCACAUAUCUUAACCAAGAGCAACCCCUCAACGUACUAAUAGUAACCAGACCCAAUACAAUUGACCAAUGGACCAAGCUACCCCAGGGAUAACAGCGCAAUCUCCUUCAAGAGCCCGUAUCGACAAGGAGGUUUACGACCUCGAUGUUGGAUCAGGACACCCUAAUGGUGCAGCCGCUAUUAAC
RNAcentral lists this ribosomal RNA (509 nucleotides) under Threskiornis aethiopicus (Sacred ibis). RNAcentral describes it as "partial 16S ribosomal RNA". It matches the Rfam family "Bacterial large subunit ribosomal RNA", at positions 1847 to 2569 of the family's 2925-position model. The record is from RNAcentral. Lineage: Eukaryota; Metazoa; Chordata; Aves; Pelecaniformes; Threskiornithidae.